UGGGGAAUAUUGGGCAAUGGGGGAAACCCUGACCCAGCAACGCCGCGUGAAGGAAGAAGGCCCUCGGGUUGUAAACUUCUUUUACCAGGGACGAAGGACGUGACGGUACCUGGAGAAAAAGCAACGGCUAACUACGUGCCAGCAGCCGCGGUAAUGCGUAGGUUGCAAGCGUUGUCCGGAUUUACUGGGUGUAAAGGGCGUGUAGGCGGAGAUGCAAGUCAGAUGUGAAAUCCCCGGGCUUAACCCGGGAACUGCAUUUGAAACUGUAUCCCUUGAGUAUCGGAGAGGCAGGCGGAAUUCCUAGUGUAGCGGUGAAAUGCGUAGAUAUUAGGAGGAACACCAGUGGCGAAGGCGGCCUGCUGGACGACAACUGACGCUGAGGCGCGAAAGCGUGGGGAGCAAACAGGAUUAGAUACCCUGGUAGU
This 425-nucleotide ribosomal RNA is filed under the name uncultured Sporobacter sp. RNAcentral describes it as "bacterial SSU rRNA". It matches the Rfam family "Bacterial small subunit ribosomal RNA", at positions 355 to 794 of the family's 1533-position model. The record is from RNAcentral. Lineage: Bacteria; Bacillati; Bacillota; Clostridia; Eubacteriales; Oscillospiraceae.